Macaca fascicularis (crab-eating macaque) is the source of this 119-nucleotide ribosomal RNA. Lineage: Eukaryota; Metazoa; Chordata; Mammalia; Primates; Cercopithecidae. The record is from Ensembl.
GUCUAUGGCCAUACCACCCUGAACGCACCUGAGCUUGAUUGAUCUCAGAAGAUAAGCAGGGUCGGGCCUGGUUAGUACUUGGAUGAGAGACUGCCUGGGAAUACCGGGUGCUGUAGGCC